This 540-nucleotide ribosomal RNA is filed under the name Meyerozyma guilliermondii. RNAcentral describes it as "partial large subunit ribosomal RNA". It matches the Rfam family "Eukaryotic large subunit ribosomal RNA", at positions 117 to 645 of the family's 3401-position model. The record is from RNAcentral. RNAcentral also lists the same sequence under 1 other name. Lineage: Eukaryota; Fungi; Ascomycota; Pichiomycetes; Serinales; Debaryomycetaceae.
GAAAUCUGGUAGCCUUCGGUUGCCCGAGUUGUAAUCUAGAGAAGUGUUUUCCGUGCCGGCCCAUGUACAAGUCCCUUGGAACAGGGCGUCAUAGAGGGUGAGAAUCCCGUCCUUGACAUGGACCCCCGGUGCUUUGUGAUACACUUUCAACGAGUCGAGUUGUUUGGGAAUGCAGCUCAAAAUGGGUGGUGAAUUCCAUCUAAAGCUAAAUAUUGGCGAGAGACCGAUAGCGAACAAGUACCGUGAGGGAAAGAUGAAAAGCACUUUGGAAAGAGAGUUAAACAGUACGUGAAAUUGUUGAAAGGGAAACGAUUGAAGUCAGUCAUGCUCUUAGGAUUCAGCCGUUCUGCGGUGUAUUUCCUUUGAGUGGGGUCAACAUCAGUUUUGAUCGAUGGAUAAAGGCACGAGGAAGGUAGCACUCUCGGGUGAACUUAUAGCCUCGCGUCAUAUACAUUGAUUGGGACUGAGGAACGCAGCAUGCCUUUAUGGCCGGGAUUCGUCCACGUACAUGCUUAGGAUGUUGACAUAAUGGCUUUAAAC